UACGUAGGGGGCAAGCGUUGUCCGGAUUUAUUGGGCGUAAAGAGCGUGUAGGCGGCCAGGUAGGUCAGCUGUGAAAACUCGAGGCUCAACCUCGAGACGCCGGUUGAAACCAUCUGGCUAGAGUCCGGAAGAGGAGAGUGGGAUUCCUGGUGUAGCGGUGAAAUGCGCAGAUAUCAGGAAGAACACCCGUGGCUAAGGCGGCUCUCUAGUACGGUACUGACGCUGAGACGCGAAAGCGUGGGGAGCGAACAGG
RNAcentral lists this ribosomal RNA (253 nucleotides) under uncultured bacterium. RNAcentral describes it as "partial 16S ribosomal RNA". It matches the Rfam family "Bacterial small subunit ribosomal RNA", at positions 524 to 776 of the family's 1533-position model. The record is from RNAcentral.